UACAGAGGUCCCAAGCGUUGUUCGGAUUUACUGGGCGUAAAGGGUGCGUAGGCGGCCGUGCAAGUCUGGCGUGAAAGCCCCGGGCUCAGCCCGGGAAGUGCGCUCGAAACUGCGCGGCUCGAGUGCCGGAGGGGAGAGUGGAAUUCCUGGUGUAGCGGUGAAAUGCGUAGAUAUCAGGAGGAAUACCGGUGGCGAAAGCGACUCUCUGGACGGCAACUGACGCUGAGGCACGAAAGCGUGGGGAGCAAACAGG
RNAcentral lists this ribosomal RNA (253 nucleotides) under uncultured bacterium. RNAcentral's name for it is "partial 16S ribosomal RNA". It matches the Rfam family "Bacterial small subunit ribosomal RNA", at positions 524 to 776 of the family's 1533-position model. The record is from RNAcentral.